UACAGAGGGUGCGAGCGUGUUCGGAAUUAUUGGGCGUAAAGCGCGUGUAGGCGGCUUUGCAAGUCGGGUGUGAAAGCCCUCAGCUCAACUGAGGAAGUGCGCCCGAAACUGCAGAGCUUGAGUUCCGGAGAGGAUGGCGGAAUUCCCGAAGUAGAGGUGAAAUUCGUAGAUAUCGGGAGGAACACCGGUGGCGAAGGCGGCCAUCUGGACGGAUACUGACGCUGAGACGCGAAAGCGUGGGGAGCAAACAGG
Molecule: ribosomal RNA, 252 nt
Filed under: uncultured bacterium
Lineage: Bacteria
Description: partial 16S ribosomal RNA
Rfam family: Bacterial small subunit ribosomal RNA
Source: RNAcentral